RNAcentral lists this long non-coding RNA (2808 nucleotides) under Mus musculus (house mouse). RNAcentral describes it as "long non-coding RNA chr3:95996507-95999315". The record is from RNAcentral. Lineage: Eukaryota; Metazoa; Chordata; Mammalia; Rodentia; Muridae.
AGAGACGUCCAAGAUGAAGUGUUGGUAAGUUUGUGGUUUGAGGAGUGGAGGAUGUUUGGGCUUUUUGGGAGAGAAUUUAUCAAGAAAGAUACCUCUUCUUAGACCCACCGUGCUUCCCAGUCCUGCAAUCUCACUAGCCAUAUAAUUGACUUCUAUUUCAGGUGGAUACAGAACUUUAUGCUUUCAAAAUGCUCUUAUAUUGGCACUUUAGAAUGUCGAGUACCAUUUUGUAAGGCAUAUAAGAGUGAGGAUAUUAUCCCUUGGGAAAAGAUCAGUCCAGCACAGGGAACCAUUUGUCAUGCUCAAACUGACACACUGCUGUUACAUGAGUUAGCAUAGAGGUUUUCUAACCCGGGUCUGCCUUUUAGACUUUGUACACGUGUACACAGCACACUUUGCAGACUACCCCCUACACACACAGCACACUUUACAGACUAUCUCCUCCUCAUCUCUGUUUGGUACUGGCCUGUUUAAAGGGCAAAGAAAUGACUGAGAAAGGCUUUAGGAGGGAGCCUAUGUACUAGCAUGAGGGCACAGCUGAGGGAAUGAGCUUUUGGGAACUUGUUGGCUGAGCAGGUAAGAAUGCUUUGGAUUAUUUUGUCUUUAUUUUUUAAUAAGACAAGGUCUUUUUUGUUUGUUUGUUUGUUUUGGUUUUGGUUUUUUUCCUAGACAGGGUUUCUCUGUGUAGCCAUGACUGUCCUGGAACUCACUCUGUAGGCCAGGCCAUCACUGCUGGGCUUAUGACAAGGUCUUACACAGCCUACCUAUGCUGCUUUCAGACUUGUUACAUAGCCAAGGCUGGUCUUGGUCUACCGAGCCUCCUGUCUCCACGUGAUUUACCAAGUUUAAAUAGGGGCUGAGGGCGUGGCUUGUGGUAGAGUUCUUUGCCUAGCACUCAGCAGGGCGUCUAGCAUAAUCACCCGCAAAUCACCCGCACUCACUCCAAGGAGGAAAAGGAAAGAUAGAUUUGGCUCAAGGCAGAAGGAAUUCAUGUCUGCCUCAUCUCCCUCUUCUCUGCAGCUUUCAUUUAGUCAACAGCUACUAGAGUCUGUCUCUCCAGUGUGCAAGACCCUGGGCUCCGCACAGCACCAGGCAGGAGCUAGUGCUCUGUGAAACAUCAGGCGGAGGGACUCGUAAAAAAUAACCAAAGUAAUUUUCAGAUUCUGGAGCAGAUGCUUGUGGGCUGCAGCACCUUCUCUGCCUGUCUGUGUCUUGAGAUGUUACAUAAAUCUCUGGCUGGUCCCCAUCCCUCCCGGCCCCUCCCUCCCAGUAACCUGAAAUAUUAACCUUAUAGCCCUGGCCUUCUCCCUCACCGUUGCUUCGUUGCCUUGACACUGCAUGCUCCUAUAAGCCAGCUGGUUUGCUUUAAAGCUGGCCUUUCUCACCGAGUGAACCUCAUGGCACCUGCAUUUGGAUCUAAGUGGGACUGUUUUUAGAGACCAGUGCUUAAGUGAGAAAUUGGAAUAGCACUUCUGGUUUCCUUUACACAUUGUUAUAGCACUCAGUGAGCAUCUCUCUCUCUCUCUCUCUCUCUCUCUCUCUCUCUCUCACACACACACACACACACACACACACACACACACACACACACAACUUGAGCUAAUCUCUCUAGGGAGAUAAGAUCCUGCAGGGACUCAUGUGGCUUAGCAUGCCCACCUGUAAGAGCAUCACCAAUAGCUCUACUGAGCAGUUAGGGGGAUAAGCAAAAACUCUCAGAGGUAACAUCUUGUGAAUUGCUGUUUAUAAGUUUACUGGGCAGAAAUAUCUGAGCUGACAUUUAAAAACAAAUAUCCUUGACUUUAAAAUCCUAUUUUAAAAAUAGGAUUGGUGUUUUGACCAGGACAUUUUAACCUAUGGGAGAGAGGAAGAGUUAUUAAAAACAUAGCUCCUUAACUAAAAUGUUUUUUAAUAAAAUGAGACCAGUAAUACUGGAAUGGUCUGUAAAUAUUAUACUGGAUCAUUGUAUUUAGUCCUUACUGUCACAUGAGGAAGGCACUAAUUAUCUUCACUUUAUGGAGGAGGAAACUGAGCCAGCCACAAAAGACGAUUAUGUCCAGUAUUGGUUAUAUAAAUGUGACAAAUCUGAAGGAUGCUAAGGAAUACUUAUCAACAUAUAAGUUAAGGGGUUCAGCAGUCAAGUGUGCUUGCGGCUCUUGCAGAGCCCCUGAGUUCAGUUGCCAGCACCCACACUGGACAGGCUCUAACUCCAGCCCAGGGAGAUCAGAUGUCCUUUUCUGGUUUCAAGGACAAUCACACCAGCAUGUGCACACAUACAUACAUGAACAUGAGCAUGAUUAUCUGAGGACACUGAUUUCUAUCACUGCUUCAGGAGAGGCAGACCAGAGCUUUCAUCUGCCCGCAUAAUUAAACAUGUCCAGAUACAGGCUGUGCCUUCAUUGUUUGUCUGACAUCAUCUCGAGUCUUCACCUUAUGAAUUCCCAUGAAUGAGCCUCAAAGAAACCAAACAAUAUCCCUUACAUCUCUGCAGAUAGAUUCUUAUUGCAACCCCACAUGGGUUCUCAAUGCUACAGCAAAUGGCUCUAAAAAGAAAUGAGCAUGAGGGAUGAGGUAAGGGGACAGGGGGCUGUGUCCCCCGAGUCUUGGUCCUGGAACCCUGACUGGGACAGAGGAAAGAACAGACACAAAUACCGGUCUAGAAAAGCCAGGGCCAAGCCAGGCUGUGGUGGUGCAUGUCUUUAAUCCCACUUGGGAGGCCAAGGCAGGCGGAUUUCUGAGUUCGAGGCCACUACUAUAAAGUGAGUUUUAGGACAGCCAGGGCUAUAUAGAGAAAACUUGUCUUGAAAAACC